This 366-nucleotide transfer-messenger RNA is filed under the name Roseiflexaceae. RNAcentral's name for it is "SDU3-3 sp009268125 Standard tmRNA". It matches the Rfam family "transfer-messenger RNA". Rfam says of the family: Bacterial tmRNA, also known as 10Sa RNA or SsrA, is named for its dual tRNA and mRNA-like properties. RNAcentral also lists the same sequence under 1 other name. Lineage: Bacteria; Bacillati; Chloroflexota; Chloroflexia; Chloroflexales. The record is from RNAcentral.
GGGGAUGCCUGGCUUCGACAGGGGACGAUGUCGUAGGUUGCAAGCCGAGCCGCCCAGUCUCGUUAAAGGGGCAACGGCUUAACUGCCAACAAGAACAACACUCGCGUUGCCGCUCCGGCAUUCGCGAUGGCUGCCUAAUCUAGUGUAGCCCGUUCGCCCGCCCUCAGCCCGAUGGGGCGGAGCGAACGCAGACAGUCGGGCUGCUCUCAGUGUAUCGCCUGCUAAGCUGAGCUAAGAUAAGCGGGAUGGCUCAAAGGUCGCCUUGUUCGGGGUGUGGCCGCGAGCGACAUGAAACAACGGACUACGCUUGUAGACGCCUGCGUCUAAAUCUUCUGGACGGGGGUUCGAUUCCCCCCAUCUCCACCA